RNAcentral lists this unclassified non-coding RNA (305 nucleotides) under plant metagenome. Its description in RNAcentral is "partial contains 5.8S ribosomal RNA, internal transcribed spacer 2, and large subunit ribosomal RNA". The stretch from base 1 to 105 matches the Rfam family "5.8S ribosomal RNA", at positions 50 to 154 of the family's 154-position model. The record is from RNAcentral.
GAAAUACGAUAAGUAAUGUGAAUUGCAGAAUUCAGUGAAUCAUCGAAUCUUUGAACGCACAUUGCGCCCGCCAGUAUUCUGGCGGGCAUGCCUGUUCGAGCGUCAUUUCAACCAUCAAGCCCCCGGCUUGUGUUGGGGACCUGCGGCUGCCCGCAGGCCCUGAAAAACAGUGGCGGGCUCGCUGUCACACCGAGCGUAGUAGCAUACAUUCUCGCUCAGGGCGUGCUGCGGGUUCCGGCCGUUAAACGACCUUCAUAACCCAAGGUUGACCUCGGAUCAGGUAGGAAGACCCGCUGAACUUAAGC